GCCAGUUUGGUUUAGUGGGAAAGGCACCAGUCUAGAAAUCUGGAGACUGUGAGUUCUAAUCCCACCUGGCU
This 71-nucleotide transfer RNA is filed under the name Ophiophagus hannah (king cobra). It matches the Rfam family "tRNA". Rfam says of the family: Transfer RNA (tRNA) molecules are approximately 80 nucleotides in length. Their secondary structure includes four short double-helical elements and three loops (D, anti-codon, and T loops). Lineage: Eukaryota; Metazoa; Chordata; Lepidosauria; Squamata; Elapidae. The record is from Rfam by way of RNAcentral.